UACGAUACUAAUAUAGAAGAACAGAGGAAAGUAAAACGAUCUCAUCGACUACCAGCUCGAAGCACCCACCUGUCACUAUCGCGUCGGAAAUCUGGGUGCGCAACCAGUCAACCGGACCUACGAAGAUCCACCGGGUCAGUAUCCAACCCACCAAUCCAAAAUACCCAACUCACGAACCCCUCACAAAUUUUCGAAAUCAGUUUUCCCAAAACUGAUCACUGUAACUUGCCGGAAGUCCCGAAAAUUUCACCGGGACGCUGUCGG
This 264-nucleotide long non-coding RNA is filed under the name Ananas comosus (pineapple). RNAcentral's name for it is "long non-coding RNA (ACOM_LNC026555)". Lineage: Eukaryota; Viridiplantae; Streptophyta; Magnoliopsida; Poales; Bromeliaceae. The record is from RNAcentral.